UGAGGAAUAUUGGUCAAUGGACGCAAGUCUGAACCAGCCAAGUAGCGUGCAGGAUGACGGCCCUAUGGGUUGUAAACUGCUUUUAUAUGGGGAUAAAGUGGGGAACGUGUUCCCUUUUGCAGGUACCAUAUGAAUAAGGACCGGCUAAUUCCGUGCCAGCAGCCGCGGUAAUACGGAAGGUUCGGGCGUUAUCCGGAUUUAUUGGGUUUAAAGGGAGCGUAGGCCGUUUGGUAAGCGUGUUGUGAAAUGUAAGAGCUCAACUUUUAGAUUGCAGCGCGAACUGGCAGACUUGAGUGCGCACAACGUAGGCGGAAUUCAUGGUGUAGCGGUGAAAUGCUUAGAUAUCAUGACGAACUCCGAUUGCGAAGGCAGCUUACGGGAGCGCAACUGACGCUAAAGCUCGAAGGUGCGGGUAUCGAACAGG
This 424-nucleotide ribosomal RNA is filed under the name Verrucomicrobiota bacterium. Its description in RNAcentral is "Verrucomicrobia bacterium partial 16S ribosomal RNA". It matches the Rfam family "Bacterial small subunit ribosomal RNA", at positions 355 to 776 of the family's 1533-position model. Lineage: Bacteria; Pseudomonadati; Verrucomicrobiota. The record is from RNAcentral.